This 467-nucleotide ribosomal RNA is filed under the name uncultured bacterium. Its description in RNAcentral is "partial 16S ribosomal RNA". It matches the Rfam family "Bacterial small subunit ribosomal RNA", at positions 29 to 507 of the family's 1533-position model. The record is from RNAcentral.
ACGAACGCUGGCGGCGUGCUUCACACAUGCAAGUCGAACGGAAAGGCCCUGCUUUUGUGGGGUGCUCGAGUGGCGAACGGGUGAGUAACACGUGAGUAACCUGCCCUUGACUUUGGGAUAACUUCAGGAAACUGGGGCUAAUACCGGAUAGGAGCUCCUGCUGCAUGGUGGGGGUUGGAAAGUUUCGGCGGUUGGGGAUGGACUCGCGGCUUAUCAGCUUGUUGGUGGGGUAGUGGCUUACCAAGGCUUUGACGGGUAGCCGGCCUGAGAGGGUGACCGGCCACAUUGGGACUGAGAUACGGCCCAGACUCCUACGGGAGGCAGCAGUGGGGAAUAUUGCACAAUGGGCGGAAGCCUGAUGCAGCAACGCCGCGUGCGGGAUGACGGCCUUCGGGUUGUAAACCGCUUUCGCCUGUGACGAAGCGUGAGUGACGGUAAUGGGUAAAGGAGCACCGGCUAACUACGUG